Molecule: transfer RNA, 87 nt
Filed under: Parahaemophilus pittmaniae
Lineage: Bacteria; Pseudomonadati; Pseudomonadota; Gammaproteobacteria; Pasteurellales; Pasteurellaceae
Description: Haemophilus pittmaniae tRNA
Rfam family: tRNA
About the family: Transfer RNA (tRNA) molecules are approximately 80 nucleotides in length.
Source: Rfam by way of RNAcentral
GGAGGAAUGGUCGAGAGGCUGAAGGCACCGGUUUCGAAAACCGGCGAAGGGGCAACCCUUCCGAGGGUUCGAAUCCCUCUUCCUCCG